UGUAGGUUGCUUGCUCUUAACAAGCGGCUGUUUGGGAUUAAAGUUGGAAAUUUCUGUUACGUGAAGGAGGGACUUGUUCUUGGUCAGCUCACAGGAAAUCGAUUUACAAUUACUCUGAGGGGUGUUACUGCAGAAUCUGAAGACAUGAUAAAAAUUGCAGUAGAUGGUCUAGGAAAGAAUGGAUUUAUCAACUACUAUGGUUUGCAGGUAUUAUAUCCUCAAGUUUAAAACUAUUGCCCUGUUAUUUCUGAAGCUCAUCGAUUUUAUCUUUUCAUCUGGUUAGCAGUUUGGAAGUGGUUCAAUACCAACACAUCUUGUUGGGGCUGCUUUGCUUAGAGGAGAGUGGAAGGUUGCUGUAAACUUGAUUCUUGAUCCAAGGGA
This is a long non-coding RNA of Zea mays, 381 nucleotides long. RefSeq lists it as uncharacterized. The transcript has 3 exons. The record is from RefSeq and is a predicted model, not a curated record. Lineage: Eukaryota; Viridiplantae; Streptophyta; Magnoliopsida; Poales; Poaceae.